GGCCUAACACAUGCAAGUCGGACGGGAUUGGAGAGCUUGCUUUCCAUGAGAGUGGCGCACGGGUGCGUAACACGUAUGUAACCUACCUUUAUCUGGGGGAUAGCCUCUCGAAAGAGAGAUUAACACCGCAUAACAUCAUUGAGUGGCAUUACUUGAUGAUCAAAUAUUUAUAGGAUAAAGAUGGGCAUGCGGAACAUUAGCUAGAUGGUAAGGUAACGGCUUACCAUGGCAACGAUGUUUAGGGGAUCUGAGAGGAUGACCCCCCACACUGGUACUGAGACACGGACCAGACUCCUACGGGAGGCAGCAGUAAGGAAUAUUGGUCAAUGGGCGAAAGCCUGAACCAGCCAUGCCGCGUGCAGGAAGACGGCCCUACGGGUUGUAAACUGCUUUUGUACCGGAAUAAACCUUUUCACGUGUGAGAAGCUGAAUGUACGGUAAGAAUAAGGAUCGGCUAACUCCGUGCCAGCAGCCGCGGUAAUACGGAGGAUCCAAGCGUUAUCCGGAUUUAUUGGGUUUAAAGGGUGCGUAGGCGGCCUGUUAAGUCAGGGGUGAAAGGCGGUAGCUUAACUAUCGGAGUGCCCUUGAUACUGACGGGCUUGAAUGCAGCUGAGGUAGGCGGAAUGUGACAAGUAGCGGUGAAAUGCAUAGAUAUGUCACAGAACACCGAUUGCGAAGGCAGCUUACUAAAGUGUGAUUGACGCUGAGGCACGAAAGCGUGGGGAUCAAACAGGAUUAGAUACCCUGGUAGUCCACGCCCUAAACGAUGAAUACUCGAUGUUGGCGAUAUACGGUCAGCGUCUAAGCGAAAGCGUUAAGUAUUCCACCUGGGGAGUACGCCCGCAAGGGUGAAACUCAAAGGAAUUGACGGGGGGCCGCACAA
This 883-nucleotide ribosomal RNA is filed under the name uncultured Sphingobacteriaceae bacterium. RNAcentral's name for it is "bacterial SSU rRNA". It matches the Rfam family "Bacterial small subunit ribosomal RNA", at positions 45 to 928 of the family's 1533-position model. The record is from RNAcentral. Lineage: Bacteria; Pseudomonadati; Bacteroidota; Sphingobacteriia; Sphingobacteriales; Sphingobacteriaceae.